Adelges cooleyi (spruce gall adelgid) is the source of this 598-nucleotide long non-coding RNA. RefSeq lists it as uncharacterized. The transcript has 3 exons. The record is from RefSeq and is a predicted model, not a curated record. NCBI's taxonomy places the organism in Eukaryota, Metazoa, Arthropoda, Insecta, Hemiptera, Adelgidae.
CAAGUAUUUUUUAACUUUAUGCAGCCCAUACUUCAUUCGGCCAAACAUAUUUAACAAACAAUAAACACAUACACAAUAACAAUACAUAAACCACUUAAAUAUGUACAUACUCACUUCGCCUACAAAAUAAGACAAACAUAUCUCUACAUAUAAUGUAAGCAAUUGUACUGUUGCUCUCGUAUAGUAUUCAACUUCUUUGUAGUUUAAUAAUAAUAACUGCUUGUAAAAAUGAAUUUGAAAAGCAUAAUUUGUAUUAUAGCCACCAUAUUAUUCAUAAUGAUGUCGAGUGUAACAGCUCCAGAAGGUGCACCGAGGCCAGUUCUACACGAAGUAACACUAGGACCUAAAGUAGGACAACCACAAAAUCCACCACCACCACCACCACCACCAGCAGCACCACCACCAUAAAAGUAUAAUUCAAUAUGUAAUUUUAUCAUUUGGUUUUUCAAAUGACUGAAUUAAUGCUGAAUGUUUAUCAUAAUUAUGUUUCGACCUUCAGAUUUUUCUAAUAACAAUUUAUUCCAAAUAACAUAUAUUUUGUUACCUAUCAUAUAAAUUAUAUUAUGUCUUAUACACCUCUCUACUAAUAAAAAGAAUA